CUCAUUUUUAGACUUAUUUCUCGAAUUUGACAUACACAGUCAUCUCAGUACCAGAAUCUAUGACAAACGAGACGAUUUUAAUUUUGAAAUUAUCAAUUACCCCCACCUUAGUAGCAAUAUACCAACUUCACCUGCAUAUGGAAUAUACAUUUCCCAACUUAUUCGGUAUUAAAGAGCUUGCAGCUCCUACUCAGACUUUGUAAAACGUCACCAGUGUCUGAGCAGAAAGUUGAUGAACCAGGGGUAUGUCAAAGAACGUCUCGUCCUUUUUCUAAAAAACGUUCAUCGGAAGGUACCAAGAACUUGUUGAUAAAUAUUCCGUAUCAACUUCACAAAUAAUACACGAUGGUCUUGAAGUAUAGAUUUUGCGUACUGACGUUAUUUAUCAUCUUAUUAACGUGUUAUAGUAUUCUUUUAUUUGUCUUUAUUAAUAUUACUUUU
RNAcentral lists this long non-coding RNA (441 nucleotides) under Mytilus galloprovincialis (Mediterranean mussel). Lineage: Eukaryota; Metazoa; Mollusca; Bivalvia; Mytilida; Mytilidae. The record is from RNAcentral.